Molecule: ribosomal RNA, 187 nt
Filed under: uncultured bacterium
Lineage: Bacteria
Description: partial 16S ribosomal RNA
Rfam family: Bacterial small subunit ribosomal RNA
Source: RNAcentral
CUGCAACUCGACUGCGUGAAGCUGGAAUCGCUAGUAAUCGCGCAUCAGCCAUGGCGCGGUGAAUACGUUCCCGGGCCUUGUACACACCGCCCGUCAAGCCAUGGAAGUCUGGGGACCUGAAGACGGUAACCGCAAGGAGCCGUUAAGGGUAAAACAGGUAACUAGGGCUAAGUCGUAACAAGGUAAC